This 430-nucleotide ribosomal RNA is filed under the name Pseudomonadota bacterium. RNAcentral's name for it is "Proteobacteria bacterium partial 16S ribosomal RNA". It matches the Rfam family "Bacterial small subunit ribosomal RNA", at positions 355 to 776 of the family's 1533-position model. Lineage: Bacteria; Pseudomonadati; Pseudomonadota. The record is from RNAcentral.
UGGGGAAUAUUGGACAAUGGGGGGAACCCUGAUCCAGCCAUGCCGCGUGUGUGAAGAAGGCCUUAUGGUUGUAAAGCACUUUAAGCGAGGAGGAGGGUACUGGUAUUAAUACUACCAGCUACUGGACGUUACUCGCAGAAUAAGCACCGGCUAACUCUGUGCCAGCAGCCGCGGUAAUACAGAGGGUGCGAGCUUUAAUCGGAUUUACUGGGCGUAAAGCGUGCGUAGGCGGCUAAUUGAGUCGGAUGUGAAAUCCCCGAGCUUAACUUGGGAAUUGCAUUCGAAACUGGUUAGCUAGAGUGUGGGAGAGGAUGGUAGAAUUCCAGGUGUAGCGGUGAAAUGCGUAGAGAUCUGGAGGAAUACCGAUGGCGAAGGCAGCCAUCUGGACUAACACUGACGCUGAGGUACGAAAGCAUGGGGAGCAAACAGG